Molecule: non-coding RNA, 209 nt
Filed under: Corchorus capsularis
Lineage: Eukaryota; Viridiplantae; Streptophyta; Magnoliopsida; Malvales; Malvaceae
Source: RNAcentral
GCCGGACUUGGUAGCGCAAGCCUGUGACCCGUGUGGGGGCAUCCUGGUGGUGGAACUUUGGCAAUCCGUAGCGAGGUGUGGUCUUUUGUCAUAAGCCCAUUAUUUGGGUGGCGCAGGGCUGGCUUUUCAGAGCAGCGUAGACUUGCCAUUGUCAACCAAUGCGUGGGCGGCCUUGGCAUAGCUCGGUUUGACCCAAACGGACCAUCACC